UUUACCUACGGGAGGCAGCAGUGAGGAAUAUUGGUCAAUGGCCGGAAGGCUGAACCAGCCAAGUCGCGUGAGGGAAUAAGGCCCUAUGGGUCGUAAACCUCUUUUGUCAGGGAGCAAAGGCGUCCACGUGUGGACGAGAGGAGAGUACCUGAAGAAAAAGCAUCGGCUAACUCCGUGCCAGCAGCCGCGGUAAUACGGAGGAUGCGAGCGUUAUCCGGAUUUAUUGGGUUUAAAGGGUGCGUAGGCGGAAUGCCAAGUCAGCGGUAAAAUCGCGGGGCUCAACCUCGCUCCGCCGUUGAAACUGG
Molecule: ribosomal RNA, 305 nt
Filed under: uncultured bacterium
Lineage: Bacteria
Description: bacterial SSU rRNA
Rfam family: Bacterial small subunit ribosomal RNA
Source: RNAcentral